Molecule: long non-coding RNA, 447 nt
Organism: Dromiciops gliroides (monito del monte)
Lineage: Eukaryota; Metazoa; Chordata; Mammalia; Microbiotheria; Microbiotheriidae
Exons: 3
Source: RefSeq, a predicted model, not a curated record
GGAGGAGUCUUCGAGGAGGGGCCGAGAAGGAGGAGGAGGAGGAGGAGGAGCGGGGGGCAAGGAGAAGGAAGACAGGAGUGAGUCCCUGCGGCCACCAGCGCUGCCACCGCUGCCGUAGCCACCGCGUACCUGGGCUCGGCGCCAGCCAGACGAGCCGGGAUCUCGCCCCGCACGGACGGAGGGACAGGCGGACGGAGCGGACGGAGCGCACAGGGCUGGGCCCCCGGGAAUUCUGGAGGCUACCAGGCACACUUUGACCAAAAUGCAUUUAUGGCCUUUGGAAAGAACACAGAAGACUGGGAUUAACAUAAGAUGGCUGAAGCCCUGGAUUUCAGCAGGCAAAUUCGAGGAGAGGAGGGGGCUUUGCUAAGGAGACUUAUGGCAGCAGACCCGAUAUGAUGACUGACAGGCUGCCCUGGCUCAGUUAUCACAGUGCUGAUGCUGUCC